UAGGGAAUCUUCGGCAAUGGGGGGAACCCUGACCGAGCAACGCCGCGUGAGUGAAGAAGGUUUUCGGAACGUAAAGCUCUGUUGUUAAGGAAGAACGAGUGUGAGAAUGGAAAGUUCAUACUGUGACGGUACUUAACCAGAAAGGGACGGCUAACUACGUGCCAGCAGCCGCGGUAAUACGUAGGUCCCGAGCGUUGUCCGGAUUUAUUGGGCGUAAAGCGAGCGCAGGCGGUUAGAUAAGUCUGAAGUUAAAGGCAGUGGCUCAACCAUUGUAGGCUUUGGAAACUGUUUAACUUGAGUGCAGAAGGGGAGAGUGGAAUUCCAUGUGUAGCGGUGAAAUGCGUAGAUAUAUGGAGGAACACCGGUGGCGAAAGCGGCUCUCUGGUCUGUAACUGACGCUGAGGCUCGAAAGCGUGGGGAGCGAACAGG
Molecule: ribosomal RNA, 429 nt
Filed under: Bacteroidota bacterium
Lineage: Bacteria; Pseudomonadati; Bacteroidota
Description: Bacteroidetes bacterium partial 16S ribosomal RNA
Rfam family: Bacterial small subunit ribosomal RNA
Source: RNAcentral